GGUAUCUAGUUUGAAAAAUGUGUCCGAUGACCCGGCCAUCCAACCGAGAUGGCCGCCACGGCUAAAAAUAGAACAUAGGGGUAAAAUGCAGUUUUUGGCUUAUAACUCAAAAACCAAAGCAUUUAGAGCAAAUCUGACAGGGGUUAAAUUGUUUAUCAGGUCAAGAUCUAUCUGCCCUGAAAUCUUCAGAUUGAUCGGACAACCCGUUGUUAGGUUGCUGCCCCUGAAUUGGUAAUUUUAAGGAAAUUUUGCCGUUUUUUUGUUAUUAUUUUGAAUAUUAUUAUAGAUAGAGAUAAACUGUAAACAGCAAUAAUGUACAGCAAAGUAAGACCUUAAAAUAAGUCAACAUGACCAAUAUGGUCAAUUGACCCCCUAAGGAGUUAUUGUCCUUUAUAGUCAAUUUUUAACAAUUUUCAUAAAAUUUGUAAAUUUGUAAAUUUUACUAACAUUUUCCACUGAAACUACUGGGCCAAGUUCAUUAUAGAUAGAGAUAAUUGUAAGCAGCAAGAAUGUUCAGUAAAGUAAGAUGUACAAACACAUCACCAUCACCAAAACACAAUUUUUUCAUGAAUCCAUCUGCGUCCUUUGUUUAAUAUUCACAUAGACCAAGGUGAGCGACACAGGCUCUUAAGAGCCUCUAGUUU
RNAcentral lists this long non-coding RNA (644 nucleotides) under Mytilus galloprovincialis (Mediterranean mussel). Lineage: Eukaryota; Metazoa; Mollusca; Bivalvia; Mytilida; Mytilidae. The record is from RNAcentral.